ACGAACGCUGGCGGCGCGCCUAACCCAUGCAAGUCGAACGAGCGAGAGAGAGCUUGCUUUCUUGAGCGAGUGGCGAACGGGUGAGUAACGCGUGAGGAACCUGCCUCAAAGAGGGGGACAACAGUUGGAAACGACUGCUAAUACCGCAUAAGCCCACGGUGCCGCAUGGCACAGAGGGAAAAGGAGUAAUCCGCUUUGAGAUGGCCUCGCGUCCGAUUAGCUAGUUGGUGAGGUAACGGCCCACCAAGGCGACGAUCGGUAGCCGGACUGAGAGGUUGAACGGUCACAUUGGGACUGAGACACGGCCCAGACUCCUACGGGAGGCAGCAGUGGGGAAUAUUGCACAAUGGGGGAAACCCUGAUGCAGCGACGCCGCGUGGAGGAAGAAGGUCUUCGGAUUGUAAACUCCUGUUGUUGGGGAAGAUAAUGACGGUACCCAACAAGGAAGUGACGGCUAACUACGUG
RNAcentral lists this ribosomal RNA (465 nucleotides) under uncultured bacterium. RNAcentral describes it as "partial 16S ribosomal RNA". It matches the Rfam family "Bacterial small subunit ribosomal RNA", at positions 29 to 507 of the family's 1533-position model. The record is from RNAcentral.